Molecule: unclassified non-coding RNA, 272 nt
Filed under: uncultured fungus
Lineage: Eukaryota; Fungi
Description: partial contains small subunit ribosomal RNA, internal transcribed spacer 1, and 5.8S ribosomal RNA
Rfam family: Eukaryotic small subunit ribosomal RNA (bases 1-73)
Source: RNAcentral
UCAAACUUGGUCAUUUAGAGGAAGUAAAAGUCGUAACAAGGUUUCCGUAGGUGAACCUGCGGAAGGAUCAUUACCGAGUGCGGGCCCUCUGGGUCCAACCUCCCACCCGUGUUUAUUGUACCGUGUUGCUUUGGCGGGCCCGCCGUUCAGGCCGGCGCCCGCCGAAGACCCCACCGAACGCUGUCUGAAGUAUGCAGUCUGAGCACCGAUACAAAUCAGUUAAAACUUUCAACAACGGAUCUCUUGGUUCCGGCAUCGAUGAAGAACGCAGC